AGUGAACGCUGGCGGUAGGCCUAACACAUGCAAGUCGAACGGCAGCACAGUAAGAGCUUGCUCUUACGGGUGGCGAGUGGCGGACGGGUGAGGAAUACAUCGGAAUCUACUUUUUCGUGGGGGAUAACGUAGGGAAACUUACGCUAAUACCGCAUACGACAUACGGGUGAAAGCAGGGGAUCUUCGGACCUUGCGCGAUUGAAUGAGCCGAUGUCGGAUUAGCUAGUUGGCGGGGUAAAGGCCCACCAAGGCGACGAUCCGUAGCUGGUCUGAGAGGAUGAUCAGCCACACUGGAACUGAGACACGGUCCAGACUCCUACGGGAGGCAGCAGUGGGGAAUAUUGGACAAUGGGAGCAAGCCUGAUCCAGCCAUACCGCGUGGGUGAAGAAGGCCUUCGGGUUGUAAAGCCCUUUUGUUGGGAAAGAAAAGCAGCAGGUUAAUACCCCGCUGUUCUGACGGUACCCAAAGAAUAAGCACCGGCUAACUUCGUG
This 492-nucleotide ribosomal RNA is filed under the name uncultured bacterium. RNAcentral describes it as "partial 16S ribosomal RNA". It matches the Rfam family "Bacterial small subunit ribosomal RNA", at positions 29 to 507 of the family's 1533-position model. The record is from RNAcentral.